UAGGGAAACAAAGGUGUGAAGUCCUUGCCUAGUUUCCGUCUCGUUAAGUGGUUUAACACUUCAACACUCAAUGAUUCAAAAAUCAUCAUAAGUCCAUGUUGAUGGACUAUUUUUGUCAACCAACCAUUAUGUUCUAAACAUAAUUACAAACUUUCAAGAGUUGUACAAGGCAACUCUCAUUUCUUCAUACAACAAUUUGUAAGUGAAGAAUCAUGGCACAUUAAGUGUCCAAGCCUUUGUGCUUUCCUCUCAAGUUCCUUAUUCAUGUAACAAAGAAACAAGCACUAAGUGUUUGCAUUGACUAAGGGUUGUUCAAAGCAACUCUUAUUU
This 330-nucleotide long non-coding RNA is filed under the name Malus domestica (apple). RNAcentral describes it as "long non-coding RNA (MDOM_LNC004061)". Lineage: Eukaryota; Viridiplantae; Streptophyta; Magnoliopsida; Rosales; Rosaceae. The record is from RNAcentral.